Molecule: small RNA, 78 nt
Organism: Flavobacterium succinicans
Lineage: Bacteria; Pseudomonadati; Bacteroidota; Flavobacteriia; Flavobacteriales; Flavobacteriaceae
Rfam family: Flavo-1 RNA
Source: Rfam
UUUUAGCCCCGACAGCAGCGGCAUCCUUUGCUUUUUUUCUUUAGAAAAGCAAAGAUACAGCGGAUGGCGGGACCUAUG